GGACUGCUACUGACUCACUUAAGAAGACUGCUGCUAAUGAUGAUAUUACUCAGCCAAGACAUGCUUUAAGGACUGCUACUGAUUCUUAGAAGAAGACUGCUGCUAAUGAUGAUAUUACCCAGCCUAAAUGUACUCUAAG
This is a long non-coding RNA of Amphimedon queenslandica, 139 nucleotides long. RefSeq lists it as uncharacterized. The record is from RefSeq and is a predicted model, not a curated record. NCBI's taxonomy places the organism in Eukaryota, Metazoa, Porifera, Demospongiae, Haplosclerida, Niphatidae. The transcript has 3 exons.